RNAcentral lists this ribosomal RNA (274 nucleotides) under uncultured bacterium. Its description in RNAcentral is "partial 16S ribosomal RNA". It matches the Rfam family "Bacterial small subunit ribosomal RNA", at positions 523 to 796 of the family's 1533-position model. The record is from RNAcentral.
GUACGGAGGGUGCGAGCGUUAAUCGGAAUUACUGGGCGUAAAGCGUGCGUAGGCGGUUUGCUAAGUCAGAUGUGAAAGCCCCGGGCUUAACCUGGGAACUGCAUUUGAUACUGGCAGACUAGAGUAUGAUAGAGGGGGGUAGAAUUCCUGGUGUAGCGGUGAAAUGCGUAGAUAUCAGGAGGAAUACCAGUGGCGAAGGCGGCCCCCUGGAUCAAUACUGACGCUGAGGUACGAAAGCGUGGGGAGCGAACAGGAUUAGAUACCCUAGUAGUCC